GAUGAACGCUGGCGGCGUGCCUAAUACAUGCAAGUCGAGCGAACGGACGAGAAGCUUGCUUUUCUGAUGUUAGCGGCGGACGGGUGAGUAACACGUGGAUAACCUACCUAUAAGACUGGGAUAACUUCGGGAAACCAGAGCUAAUACCGGAUAAUAUUUUGAACCGCAUGGUUCAAAAGUGAAAGACGGACUUGCUGUCACUUAUAGAUGGAUCCGCGCUGCAUUAGCUAGUUGGUAAGGUAACGGCUUACCAAGGCAACGAUGCAUAGCCGACCUGAGAGGGUGAUCGGCCACACUGGAACUGAGACACGGUCCAGACUCCUACGGGAGGCAGCAGUAGGGAAUCUUCCGCAAUGGGCGAAAGCCUGACGGAGCAACGCCGCGUGAGUGAUGAAGGUCUUCGGAUCGUAAAACUCUGUUAUUAGGGAAGAACAUAUGUGUAAGUAACUGUGCACAUCUUGACGGUACCUAACCAGAAAGCCACGGCUAACUACGUG
Molecule: ribosomal RNA, 497 nt
Filed under: uncultured bacterium
Lineage: Bacteria
Description: partial 16S ribosomal RNA
Rfam family: Bacterial small subunit ribosomal RNA
Source: RNAcentral